This 301-nucleotide ribosomal RNA is filed under the name uncultured bacterium. RNAcentral describes it as "partial 16S ribosomal RNA". It matches the Rfam family "Bacterial small subunit ribosomal RNA", at positions 509 to 807 of the family's 1533-position model. The record is from RNAcentral.
CAGUAGCCGCGGUAAUACGUAGGGUGCGAGCGUUAAUCGGAAUUACUGGGCGUAAAGCGUGCGCAGGCGGUUAUAUAAGACAGAUGUGAAAUCCCCGGGCUCAACCUGGGACCUGCAUUUGUGACUGUAUGGCUAGAGUGUGUCAGAGGGGGGUAGAAUUCCACGUGUAGCAGUGAAAUGCGUAGAUAUGUGGAGGAAUACCGAUGGCGAAGGCAGCCCCCUGGGAUAACACUGACGCUCAUGCACGAAAGCGUGGGGAGCAAACAGGAUUAGAUACCCGCGUAGUCCCUGUCUCUUAUAC